GCUCUCGUAGAUGAACUGGAACACCGUCCGCUUCGCCUAGUGUCCUAUUGCUGAAGCAUAAGCGGAAGGAGGGGGUUCGAAUCCCCCCGAGAGCA
Molecule: non-coding RNA, 95 nt
Organism: Mycena rebaudengoi
Lineage: Eukaryota; Fungi; Basidiomycota; Agaricomycetes; Agaricales; Mycenaceae
Source: the annotation of a GenBank genome assembly